This 442-nucleotide ribosomal RNA is filed under the name uncultured bacterium. RNAcentral's name for it is "partial 16S ribosomal RNA". It matches the Rfam family "Bacterial small subunit ribosomal RNA", at positions 338 to 795 of the family's 1533-position model. The record is from RNAcentral.
CCUACGGGAGGCAGCAGUGGGGGAUAUUGCACAAUGGGGGAAACCCUGAUGCAGCGACGUCGCGUGGGCGAAGAAGUAUCUCGGUAUGUUAAGCCCUAUCAGCAGGGAAGUAGAAAUGACGGUACCUGAGUAAGAAGCACCGGCUAAAUACGGGCCAGCAGCUGCGGUAAUACGUAAGGUGCAAGCGUUAUCCGGAUUUACUGGGUGUAAAGGGAGCGCAGGCGGGAAGGCAAGCCUGAUGUGAAAGCCCGCGGCUCAACCGCGGAACUGCAUUGGAAACUACCGGGCUGGAGUGCCGGUGAGGUAGGCGGAAUUCGUAGUGUAGCGGUGAAAUGCGUAGAUAUCAGGAGGAACGCCGAUGGCGAAGGCAGCCUACUGGACGGUGACUGACGCUGAGGCUCGAAAGUGUGGGGAGCAAACAGGAUUAGAUACCCCAGUAGUC